Molecule: transfer-messenger RNA, 354 nt
Filed under: Rubrobacteraceae
Lineage: Bacteria; Bacillati; Actinomycetota; Rubrobacteria; Rubrobacterales
Also listed under: 1 other name
Description: Rubrobacter_D sp016781725 Standard tmRNA
Rfam family: transfer-messenger RNA
About the family: Bacterial tmRNA, also known as 10Sa RNA or SsrA, is named for its dual tRNA and mRNA-like properties. Its role is to liberate the mRNA from a stalled ribosome.
Source: RNAcentral
GGGGGCGCAUAGGCUUCGACGGGAGUGGUCAGCGUCCUGUGAGACGAGCCGAGUUUGCUGGAGACUCGUAAAACGCCGGCGACAAAAGAUACUCGCCAACGACAACGUUGCGAUGGCUGCCUAACUAAAGAGUAGCCCAUCGGUCCGGGAAGCCCACGUCCCGGUUCCCGGUGUCAUUGAGUGGGAUCACCCUCCGGGUUCUGGCCCGGUGCGCGGGGGGGACAUCCAACGGGCUAGCCCCGCGGCGGCGCCCCGGUCCGUCGCGUAAGGCGAAACUAAACCGGGAGCUACGCUCGUAGAAUCUCACGGACGGCGCGCUCGCGGACGCGGGUUCGAAUCCCGCCGCCUCCACUA